This 218-nucleotide ribosomal RNA is filed under the name uncultured bacterium. RNAcentral's name for it is "partial 16S ribosomal RNA". It matches the Rfam family "Bacterial small subunit ribosomal RNA", at positions 122 to 334 of the family's 1533-position model. The record is from RNAcentral.
UAAACCUGCCUCUUAGCGGGGGAUAACUAUUGGAAACGAUAGCUAAUACCGCAUAAAAGUCGAUAUCGCAUGAUAUUGAUUUGAAAGGUGCAAAUGCAUCACUAAGAGAUGGACCUGCGUUGUAUUAGCUAGUUGGUGAGGUAACGGCUCACCAAGGCGACGAUACAUAGCCGACCUGAGAGGGUGAUCGGCCACACUGGGACUGAGACACGGCCCAG